Molecule: ribosomal RNA, 422 nt
Filed under: uncultured bacterium
Lineage: Bacteria
Description: bacterial SSU rRNA
Rfam family: Bacterial small subunit ribosomal RNA
Source: RNAcentral
UAAGGAAUAUUGGACAAUGGAGGCAACUCUGAUCCAGCCAUGCCGCGUGAAGGAAUAAGGCCCUAUGGGUUGUAAACUUCUUUUAGACGGGACAAAACCCCUUUACGUGUAAAGGGUUGAUGGUACUGUCAGAAUAAGCAUCGGCUAACUUCGUGCCAGCAGCCGCGGUAAUACGAAGGAUGCAAGCGUUAUCCGGAAUUAUUGGGUUUAAAGGGUGCGUAGGCGGACUAAUAAGUCAGUGGUGAAAGCCUGCAGCUUAACUGCAGAAUUGCCAUUGAUACUGUUACUCUUGAGUACAGUUGAGGUAGGCGGAAUGUGUCAUGUAGCGGUGAAAUGCUUAGAUAUGACACAGAACACCGAUUGCGAAGGCAGCUUGCUAAGCUGUAACUGACGCUGAGGCACGAAAGCGUGGGGAGCAAACA